ACUCCCAACCCCUGUGACAUACCUUA
RNAcentral lists this ribosomal RNA (26 nucleotides) under Fusarium graminearum. Its description in RNAcentral is "partial 18S ribosomal RNA". Lineage: Eukaryota; Fungi; Ascomycota; Sordariomycetes; Hypocreales; Nectriaceae. The record is from RNAcentral.